CCCCGCUGCCCCCGGCCGCCGCCCAGCCGCUGUCAGACGGCGCGGUGGUGCUGGGGCCGGGCGUCGGAGUGAGCUCCGAAGUGUGAGUUAGUCCGAAGGAGUGUUGUAUGUGCUUGUGUGCGUACGUACGGCAGGAGGGAGUUAGCGCACUACGGGCAUCGAUGGAUGUGUACGUGCAUGUAUAUGUAUAUAGUAUAGAAUAUACAAUACCUAAAAUACGUAUAACUGUAUAUAUUAACUGUUAUAUAUUAUGUCUGUUGCCCAUACAGUGUCAAAAUAUGGGAACACACAUAUAUAUAUACAUUUAUGUGUUUCUGCUAGGGCUGCUCCAGAAGUAAUGCCUCCUAUGUUAUGAUACUCGCCCAUUACAUCAAAGGAGGAUGUUGGGGGGAUGGCAGUAGAGGUUGAACCUUCCCACCAAUAUUCCAUUAUAUGUUGUUGCCAUGUGACAGAUGGCAGCAGGGGGGUGGUCUGACACAGCGGUGUCUGACAUAGAAGCGCGGAUGAAGCAAAGGUGUGGCACUGAAUUCCUCCACGUGCAAAAAAAUGACACUCAUUAACGUUCAUCAACGCUUACUAAACAUUUAUAGACACCCAACAGUGGAUGUGAGCACAGCGAGGCCUUUAGCAGUGGUGCCUUUAGCAGUGGUGUCAGUGACCGUGGGUCACCUCCACUGGUGCCAAUUUUUAUGAGCAUGGCAGGCAGGUUCUUUUUCAUUGCUGGUGAAAAUGCACAGCUAACAGUGGUGACUAUGUUGAAAAGUAGUGUUCUGUAGCUGAGAAUUUGCUCUAUCACACAGUGUUGUUGUGCUCUUUAUUGUAGUUUCCAUGAAAAUAAAUAAAAGGCACAACUUUUGCUGCAGCCUACAUACAUAUAUGCAUAUGUAUGUGUGCAUAAAUGUGUGUGUGUGUUGCUGAUACUGAACAUGUCACUGGCAAAAUGCUGCUCACGCUGAAGGCACCAGAAAUUGGUCUCGUCUUUCAGCAGGAGAGGGAUUCUCUCACAUCACACUGAGCAUCCCGUAUUUCCCGAAACAAUGAAUUUACACACAACACCAUCACUUGUGAGUAAUGUGGUAUUCCAAAGUUCAAGCUAAUAAAAUCUUUAUUGGCGGACACCACUGUGCAUGACUUUAUGGCAAAGUGUAUCUAUCUUCUUUGACCUCAAACAAACCAAAACCAGUGGCACAGGCACAGUGGCACCCAAGGAAGUGGUAGAGUCAUUGUUUCAGGAGGUGCUUAAGAACUGUAUGGAUGUGGCACUGAGGGACAUGCUUAGUGGGUAUAGUGGGGGUGGGCUGACAGACUGGGUGAUCAGAGAGGUCUUUUCCAACCUUAAUGAUUCUAUGGUUCUGUCUAUGAGUUAAGCCUAAAGCUCUGACUCAAAAAGCUGAACGUCUGUGGCUGCCAUUUAUUUACGCCAGAGCCUAAAAGCAGGGCACUAAGCCUGGGGUUCUAAUGACAAAUUUAAAAGCAUGACACCAAUAAAAGAUUUUUCUUUAUUUUAUAUGCAAGUCAUUCAGAAGAACACAUUUAAAUUUCUAGCCUGCAUGCACGUCAUCUAGCCCUAUGGCUGCAUGGGAUAGUUGGACACGUCCUUUUAUUUGUUACAUUAUAUUCUUUGAAAUGAAGGAAACAACUGAACACUGGCACUUUGGAGGACAUUCUUUCUAUAGGGACAAGGAAAAAAAAAUAAAAUAAAAAAAAUACUUGUAGCAGACUGCCCAGAGAAGCUGUGGUGCCCCAUCCCUGGAGGUGCUCAAGGCCAGGUUGGAUGGGGCCCUGGGCAGCCUAAGCUGGUGGGGGGCAGCCCUGCCCAUGGCAGGGGUUGGGGCUGGGUGGUUCCCUCCAACCCAAAUCAUUCUGUGAUUCUAUGAUUCUAUGCUUCUAUGCUUCUGUGAUUCUAUAAUUCUACGAUACUCUUUCAUUCCUGAAUCUUCAGGUCCAGUCAGAAUACUGCUCAUGAGAAGAGAAGCCUAGCCUUAAGGUGGAGGAAGUAGGCAGUGUUCUCUCACAUGCAAAUCAUACUGUAAAUCGCAAAUGUAAUUCAUUCUAAAAUCAUAAGAUCCAUGUCUCUUUUUAAGACCUUUCUUUCAAAUGAAGGAAAUCUUUCUGAAAAAUACUGCUACAAAAGUGUCAAUAACUGCUGUCCUAGCUUCAAGCUCAGGGAGGGUGGAUUUAGGGUGCCCCCUCCCCUCCCCUCCGCUCCCCUCCCUUCCCCUCCCCUCCCCUUCCCUCCCCUCCAUACAGCAGGGAAUAUUUGGCUUCCAAGCUUGUUGACGAAGGUGCCGUGUAGCCGAGCAUGUUAUGAGAUGCUGGGGAUCAGUGUUUGCAGCUCAUGCUGCUUUCCAUCUCCACCAGUCCUGUGCAGCUGAAGCUCUGUACCCUUGCUGGUCCCAGAGACGUUGGGGACUCUGCUCUUGGGGACGUCACCACGUGGAGAAGAAUGUUCCCAAGGCACAGAGCAGCCCAUCAGAGAGGGAGGGGUCCCCCCAGCCAAGGAGAUGUGCAGGUGUUUCCCUGGCGCCACGGCGCCUUGUCAUGGCUCUGCCCCUGACAGCUCAAUGCGUCUGCUCCUGCCUCAGAACAAUUUGGUGCCGGGUCGCUCCGCACUGUUUCAUGGACAGCACAAACAGAAGCACGCCUGACUGCAGCUGAGCCACAAGGGCCCUUCCCACCAUACACCCACCGAUGCCUCAUUGCCCCCACUGCACCCUGCCAUCUGCACCCAUGUGUACUUUCAUCCCUUGUUCUCCUCUGCAUUGCCUUUUCUAUCAGAGACAGUGCUAACAGUGCUUCACGUGACAGAGUGCAUGCUGUUUUAUACAUCAAGAUAGUAACCCCCAUAAUUUACUUUAUUUACCUUUUAAUCCAUCUAUUGAUUGCUGCUGUCAGUUCCUGCUAGAGCAAGGAACAGCUCUGGUACCCACAGUGUGCUCGUGGGACUCACCUCUACCACACGGGUUUGCAGUCAUUGGGUGUGCAUUGAACCAUUAUGAGUCAUGGCAAUUUGGUUUUCCGUUUGCUGGGGCUUCCUCACUGUGGUUAUGGUUUUGAGUUAUAUGGCUGCACAUAAAAUGUAAUUAAUAUUAAUCCUGCUUUAGCUAUGUGGUAGUAAAAAGUCUGUCUUUAUUGCAAUUGUCAAAACUGCUUUCAUAAUGAGAAAAAUAGACUGAUUUGACAGAAUGAGAAUUAUCACUGUAUCAGAAAUUAACUCUAUUUUUAGGGAUGAAGUCUGAAGUUUGAAUCAAAGAAUAGUUUGAGUUGGAAGGGACCCUUGAAGGCCAUCCAGUCCAAUUCCCCUGCAAUGAACAGGGAUACCUGCAGAUUGAUCAGGUUGCUUAGAGCCCCGUCCAGCCUGACCUUGGAUGUCCCCAGGGACACCAUCCACCACCUCCCUCACCACUCUUACUGUAAAAACCUUAUUCCUUAUGUCCAAUCUAAAUCUCUUUUAAUUGAAAACCAUUUCCCCAUGUCCUGUCACAGCAGACCCUGGUAGAGCCUGUCCCCUUUCUUCUUACAGCCCCCCUUUAGACACUGACAGGCAUAUCUGAGGUCUCCCUGGAGCCUUCCCUGCUCCAGGCUGAACAGCCCCAGCUCUCUCAGCUCUUUGUUCUUAUUUUCUGACCUGUCUUCAAUAUCAAGAAAACAUUUCCAGAAAAAACUUAUCUGACUGUUUCAAGAAGUGGAUCUCUGGGAGCUGUACCUUUGGUGCUCUCUACUGCACGGGGAGGGCAGUACUGCGUGGAAGAGAUAUACCUGUGACACGUAUAACCAAGAUGCUCCGAGUUAUGGGAAAACAAACACCAAAGAGCCCUUUCCAGAGCUGCUUGGCAACUGUCUCCAUAAAUCAGUUCUACCAAGGUGCUGUGCCUUCCAGAGAUAGUCACUUUAAUGGCAGCAAUUUAGUUGUACGGGCCUGAACUUUGGGGGGAAGAGGCACAUGGAAACCAACAGGAAUAUAAAACUUGGGAACUUGAUUGGAAAUCUUUCAGGUCCAGUCUUGGAAUCAUAGAAAAUGUAUACAGAUGAUGCUGCUCGUGAAGAAACAAAAAUCUAUUAAAACACCUCCAGUGCAUCAGUAAAAGUGCUGGAAAGAAAUGUGAGUUUUGACUGUUGCUAAGAAGAGAUGUGGCUGUGUACAUUGCACGGGUCCUCUCCAAGUGACAACUCACAGGCAGGGGAAAAGAGACAUCAUUUAGGAGUUGGACUAGAUGGCUUCCAGAGGUCCGUUGCAACCUCAACCAUUCCACAUUUCUGUGAUUAGAAGAGAUUUUAUCUAUCCACUUUGCUGUGGUUCUUACUCUGGUGGCUUUUGAGGAAGCAUUCUCUCCAGGUUUGUCCCACCUGGAACAUGUUGAAACAGCACGAGCAUAGAGAUUCAAGUUACCAAAAUCCCAAUGGUCAAAAAAAUGGCAGGUUCAGCUGCAGUUUAUGGAAACAGAUAUAAUUGUUAGGGUUCAGAGCUGGCAAUGAGCAGAGGAGCUGGCUUCCAACUCAGGAGGUCACUCAAACUUUGGGUUUGGACUGUCCAGUUUUCUCUGAGAAAUCAUGCCCAAACACUUCUGUGUGGUGCCAAAACCAGAAAAUAUGUAGGUCUCCUCACUGUAAAAAAUCAAACAAUUAUUACAGGAUCUGGAUAAUCUCCACAUGCACACAAUAGAAGAAGUUUAGGGAAAGUUUUGUUGAAAAGAGGAAAUUUUGUCUCAUUAAAUUUGGUGGCAAAAAAUUCCAAAUUCAAGCAUGAUUUCACCCUAUGUUACACUCUUGCCAUUGUGUAGAUUUUUGGUUAUAGAUAAGGAUCAGCCAGGGUUUAUAACUAAGUUUAUUUUGUAGUAAGUCUGUAGCAGCAAUUAAAGUUCCAAAACAGUUUUCACAUACUAGUAAUUUAAAGAAAAGUACAUCUCUGAAGAUGUAAUUUUCCAUUUUAAUCUCCAUCCAAAGAUAUUCUUUAACUUUGGGCAAAUUCCUGUCAAACAGUUUGAGUUAUAAUUGUAUGAAAAAAGAUACUCUGCCAGAUGUAAGAGAAAGAUGACUGCUGACAUUUUUAUUUCUUUUCUACAAGAUAAGCCAUGAGAUCUGACCUCUGAAGAACGGUGUAUAAGUAACCACUCAGGAACUUGUUCAUAAAUGGACUGGAAAAGUAAAGUGGAAAAAAAGCUUAAAUUAUUAAGCCUGAAUGUUGGGUAAUAAGAGUGAACAGUAGAAAUAUGGCAAUUAGAUAUUUAAAUUAUUUUUGAUUCUCAGCCUUCUGCCUGAACCAUACCUGAGACAGUAAAGCUAGUACAUAUGGAGCAGAUAUCAGAGCAUGGGUUAUUUCAACAUCCAGUGCAAUAAUUAUGGCUAUAUUCAGUAUCACAAAUCUCGAAAUUGCAUCAAGCAACUUAAAAAAUAAAUUAAUUAUACUAUCACAAGGCAAACUUGGAAGAAAGUAAUUAUUCUUAACAUAGAAUAGUUCUGAGUAAAGAAUUAAUUUAUUGAUUUAGUAGUGUAGAAUUUGAUUACUUAACGUAUAAAUUCUCCCAGGAAUAGAGUCCUGGGGCAUCCUGAGAGGAGUGACUGAAUAACUGGAGACCUUAACGUGUAGAGGUCUUUGUAGGGUGCUCAGUGUAUCGAGUAAAAGAAAUCAUUAAUCCAAGCUACCAUCUAGCUGUGUUUGCCAUCUUGACUACUCAUCACAAAAAUUUGUCAGACUUAUUCAGAACAAAAAAUACAGAUGUAAUUCCCCACAAGUCCCCAGAGGUGUUUUUCAGUAUGGUUAGUUAUAUAUGGAAGAAACAUCAACAUUUCCUUGAUGCCUGACAGCACAAAAUCCUCAAAUAAAUAGCUACAAUAUUGGGUCUCAUAGUGAAAUUUUUAUAAUGUGCCAUACAAUUUUUAAUAUCUACAACAUAUGCAAAGUAGGAUCAAUUUUCUUACACUAGCACAGCAAAUGCGCCUCUAAGAUCCAGUUAAUGGUAUUAAGGUGCACUGAUAUAUUAUUUUAUUUUCUGACUUUAUCUAUAUUAAAAACAAAAUAAACUGAGAUUUUUAUUCCUCCUUACACCUGUAGAAGUAAUUCUUUAUGUGGUCUGAAUGAAGAUAUGAUAAUGGAUCAUCUUAGUAGCAACGUAUCACUAUGAAUAUGCAUUUGUUUUUCACGAGAAGGAUAUUUUAGGAUCGGGGGGAUAGCACUAGUUCUUAAAAGUAGACUAAAAUUAAAGCUUCUGAGUCCCAGGUGGAGGCAUUAAGAAACUAAAAUACCUGAGUUGAGGAAACCCCCAGCUUUGUGAUCAUGGUUAGACCUUCCAUCUGUAACACUAGAUAUAGAAGGAAAAAUACAACAAUCUGUAUUGCUGUGGCUCCUGGAAAAGCUGAAAGUGUGGGUACCAGUUAUUUACUGGACAGCAUGAAACCACAAAAUAAAUUUAACAGUUUGGAGCCCUGAUCCUUCUCAUUUAUGUUUCUGUUUUGCACUGUCCUUAGAAAAAGCACAAGUCUAAAAAAAGCCAAGGAUAUAAUACCCUGAUUUCCACCAUCUACUUAGCCUUUGAUAGAAGUUUUCUUAUUGAUUUCAAUAACUUGAGCUGCAUAGAAUCAAUCUUGAUAUGCUUUGCUUUAUUGAGACUACUCCCAACCUUGAAGUUAAGCAUUAAGGCUCAGAUUCUCGUGGGUAUCUACAUGUUUAAUUAUUUUCCCACAUCAGAACUAGCAGAUAAAGAUGUGUUCCAAAUUCUUGGCCAUAAGGGCAUGACAGUUCCUAGACACUUGUUUCUGAACCAGGCAGCCUGCCAGGUGGAAGGCUUAUUUGCCUCAAAACUUCAAGAAUCCAGUGUGUCAGGCUGGCACAAUGAACCAAUCACUAAAUUCAGAUCACGUAAUACAUACAAGCAUGGUGUUUUCCUUUUGGUGAUGAAAACUACUGGAAUGUAAUACAACAUUUGAAAAAACAUCUCUGCCAGUGUGCUACAUUCUCUCUUUACACCAGCAGUGAGA
Molecule: long non-coding RNA, 6975 nt
Filed under: Gallus gallus (chicken)
Lineage: Eukaryota; Metazoa; Chordata; Aves; Galliformes; Phasianidae
Description: lncRNA (ENSGALG00010016301.1)
Source: RNAcentral